RNAcentral lists this ribosomal RNA (222 nucleotides) under Methylobacterium radiotolerans. RNAcentral describes it as "partial 23S ribosomal RNA". It matches the Rfam family "Bacterial large subunit ribosomal RNA", at positions 2623 to 2925 of the family's 2925-position model. Lineage: Bacteria; Pseudomonadati; Pseudomonadota; Alphaproteobacteria; Hyphomicrobiales; Methylobacteriaceae. The record is from RNAcentral.
GAGACAGUUCGGUCCCUAUCUGUCGCGGGCGCAGGAAAUUUGAGAGGAGCUGUCCUUAGUACGAGAGGACCGGGAUGGACGUACCGCUGGUGUACCAGUUGUUCCGCCAGGAGCACGGCUGGGGAGACAGUUCGGUCCCUAUCUGUCGCGGGCGCAGGAAAUUUGAGAGGAGCUGUCCUUAGUACGAGAGGACCGGGAUGGACGUACCGCUGGUGUACCAGU